CCUACGGGAGGCAGCAGUAGGGAAUAUUAGGCAAUGGGGGGAAGCCUGACCGAGCAACGCCGCGUGAAGGAAGAAGGUAUUCGGAAUGUAAAGUUCUUUUAACAGGGAAGAAAGAGAAAUUUGACGGUACCUGAAGAAUAAGCGCCGGCUAACAACGUGCCAGCAGCCGCGGUAAUACGUAGGGAGCGAGCGGUAUCCGGAAUUAUUGGGCGUAAAGGGUGCGUAGAGGGCAUAGUAAGGCUUUUGUAAAAAUGCUGGGCUCAACCCAGUAGGGCAAAAGAUACUGCAAAGCUAGAGUAUGACAGAGGCAAGUGGAACUACAUGUGUAGCGGUAAAAUGCGUAAAUAUAUGUAAGAACACCAGUGGCGAAGGCGGCUUGCUGGGUCGAUACUGACAUUGAGGCACGAAAGCGUGGGUAGCAAACAGGAUUAGAUACCCGGGUAGUC
RNAcentral lists this ribosomal RNA (446 nucleotides) under uncultured bacterium. Its description in RNAcentral is "partial 16S ribosomal RNA". It matches the Rfam family "Bacterial small subunit ribosomal RNA", at positions 338 to 795 of the family's 1533-position model. The record is from RNAcentral.